Molecule: ribosomal RNA, 421 nt
Filed under: uncultured eukaryote
Lineage: Eukaryota
Description: bacterial SSU rRNA
Rfam family: Eukaryotic small subunit ribosomal RNA
Source: RNAcentral
CAAUAGCGUAUAUUAAAGUUGUUGCGGUUAAAAAGCUCGUAGUUGGAUUUCUGCCUGAGGCAGCCGGUCCGCACUUAGUGCGUGUAUCUGGUUUGGUUUGGGCAUCCUCUUGGGGAUCGUUGCUGUGCUUAGUUGCAUGGUGCGGAAUUCAAGACGUUUACUUUGAGGAAAUUAGAGUGGUUACGGCAAGCUAUCGCUUUGAAUACAUUAGCAUGGAAUAAUAAUAUAGGGCGUAAGUUCUAUCUUGUUGGUUUUGAGAACCAGAGUAAUGAUUAAUAGGGACAGUUGGGGGCAUUCAUAUUUCAUUGUCAGAGGUGAAAUUCUUGGAUUUAUGAAAGAUGAACUUCUGCGAAAGCAUUUGCCAAGGAUGUUUUCAUUAAUCAAGAACGAAAGUUAGGGAUCGAAGAUGAUCAGAUACCAU